Molecule: small nuclear RNA, 105 nt
Organism: Balaenoptera musculus (blue whale)
Lineage: Eukaryota; Metazoa; Chordata; Mammalia; Artiodactyla; Balaenopteridae
Source: Ensembl
GUGCUCACUUUGACAGCACACAUACCUAAACUAGAAUAAUACAGACAAUAUUAACAUGGCUCCAAUGCAAGGGUGACAUGGAAAUGUGAAGCAUUCCGUAUUUUU